Molecule: long non-coding RNA, 2992 nt
Organism: Oncorhynchus tshawytscha (Chinook salmon)
Lineage: Eukaryota; Metazoa; Chordata; Actinopteri; Salmoniformes; Salmonidae
Source: Ensembl
CAUCUGGCACACAGGAAAACCCAUCGUCAUCAAUAUCAAACGAGCUUCCAUCACACAAGAAUGUUUAUGCAUGCGUGCUGUUGGUGAGACCACUUGUCCCACCUCGCUGGCUAUCAGGUCAACAAGACAGUCAUGCCUAGCAAUGUAUAAAUCCUUGUAUGAUCCCCAGCCAUUCACAACAUGGGCAAUGAACUCCAUUUCAUUUGACUCAUGUAGAAUACAAACUGGGUCACUAUCUGCAGAGUACCAGAGUGCUACACACACACACACUCUUGUGUAGUGCUAUUUGUCUCUGUGACUAAGUGCAAUACAUCCAGUGUAAUAAGGGGUUGUGUCACAGACCUCCAUGGCUGGAACCCCUACAGCCCCCUGCAAGUCACAGUCAAACACACACACACACACACACAAUCGUGAUCUCACUAUGCAAGGUGGUUAUCGCUAGCUCACACCUUCCCAGCAAGGCCCCUCUAAUUGGCCGUCCCCGACUGUGCUGCUGUGGAUUAUAAAUAAAGCUGUUUGGCUCGCAAUUAAACACUCUGAUUUAUACCGUGUUGGCAGGGCUGUGUGGCGUGAUUAUGCCUUAAAGAGUUAGAAUCCCCCACUUCUCCCCCCUAUGACACACUGGCUUAACCUCAUAGGAUUUAGCCUCAUAGGGUUUAGCCUGAUAGUGUUUAGCCUGAUAGUGUUUAGCCUGCUAGUGUUUAGCCUGCUAGCGGUUAGCAUGGCCGAGCUUCACCAGAGCGUCAUUGUCAAUUCGAAGCUUGCAGAAACUGUUACUGGCUCCUAUCCACCAGACACUGGUUGGCUGUUUUGUCACUUCAGAAGCCUCAGGGCUCUAAAUAGACCAGAAGCCUGGCAUAGGAGGCGCCGGGAGGGUUAACCGACAGACUGCGUUCCACAGGUGCAGAGAGAGAGAGUGGCAUUUAGGCUUCUUACACACAUCACCUUCCAAAGGCUCCGCUCAUUACAGCAGACAAAUGGCAAUCCCUCUGGCUGUGUGGCAGCCCUGCAGAGACUUCUCAGGGAGAUCUGUCUUCCAAAAGCUUCAGGUGACAAGUUCCAAAAGAGAGGAUCCCCUCGUUGUCACUGAUUAUGGGUGGUGGGGAUGGUGUUUUCAGGGAAUGUAGUCACACAUGCGCAGAGACACACGUACACACACAAUCAUGUUGAGUCUCUCUGUGAUUGUCGGCACCUUUGUUCUUGUUUCCUUCCAGGGAGACCAGGAGGAGGAGAGAGUACACGUCACCUUGGAACCUGGGGAGGAACACACCCAAAUGCUGGCACAGUCCAUUCUUACUUUUCCACACCUUAUCUUUCUUACUUUAUCGCUCUCUUUUUCUCUCUUUCAUCUCUUUGAACACAUUCCUUAAUAUGCCACCAUGCCAUGAUUAAAAAUGUUACCUUUCAAGACCUUAAUUCUUCUAAAAUGAAUGGUUGUCGGUUAGCACCUGCCUCAGCCAUAUGCUCUGAUCCAGGCAUGCUUAAUUCAAACAGUACCAAUCUUCACUUACACAAGUUGACAAUAUUCCUAAGAAAUUACCUUGAUGCAACAUAGCAGUGGAACGAGGAGCUAUUUUCCCCAGUCUAAAUUUCCUGGAAAUAAUUUUUGGGAUGCCAUCAGAAUUUCCAAUAUGAGGUCUUUGAAAGAAACUUGAGCUUACUCAGAAGUGACUGAGUCUCUCUAACUGACACACUCUCUCUCUCUCUCUCUCACACACACAGCGUCUGCUUUUUGCUGCUACAUGGACUACAGUAAACCUACAUCCUGCUUCUAAUGACUAUCACUCUAAAUGACCUUGUGCAAGUUGCUCUCUGUGGAUGUGUAUUUGUGAUGCGUUUAGAUCCUCUGUAUUCAGUCCUGUACUUGGUGAUAUCUGCCACUCCCUCCCCUGUGCCUUCUGUCUGUCAGUCAUAAUCAGUCAUAAUGUUGUUUUGUUGUUGUAAUAUUUCAUUUCAUUUUAAAAGUCUUAAUUAGUCAUGUGUGUUUCUAUAACAGUAGUCUGAGACAAAGCCAUUUUUCUGGUUUAAACCCCAGUUUUGGUGUUCAAAUGUUUUUACACAUUCACCUUCUGCUUGAGAUCCCACUCUAUUUGACUAUCCUUGUCCAUUCUCCAGCACAUCCAGUUCUCUCUCUCACUCCACCGCCACACCCCAGUACAUUCGGUUCCAACACCCUCCCCCCUGACUGACGCAUAUCGCUGCACAAACUAGAGUUUCACUGAGUCAGCACUGCUUUCUGAUGAUGAGAGAAGACUAUUCUACUUCCUGUCUUUUGUUGUUGCCGUUUGCUUCUCACUAUAUGGGAUUGGUAGACGGAGAGAGAGCCAACUGGGCACAGACUGGUUGAAUCAAUGUUGUUUCCACGUCAUUUGUGGAAUAGACGGUGAAUUAAUGUCUGUCCAGUGAUAGAAAGAGAGAGAGAGAUUCAUUCUCAGUGGCAGGACUUGAGGUGUUCGAGCUCGAUUCGGUCUGUCAUUGCUCUGGCUUGGAACAAUCAAAUGAAAUACCACUUUUUGAAGAUUUGCCACUUUUGUGUAUUACUUAAAUGGAGAAUCAGUAAUAUGACAGCAACCUCUUAGGUGGGAAUGACUGUACUACGCUUUAGCGAGGGCCUGGGAGUAGAAUGGAAUGGGGCAGACCACCGAGGUCACUGACAAUGUAACUGGUUUCAUUCAAUUGUCAUGUGAGUACAGAAAACUGGUUCCAAGAUUCUAUUUCUGUAAUUACUAGGAUUCUUUUAGGUUUUUGUUGUUGUUUGUUUUGGGGUUUUGAGCAUUCUGAAGUAGCUCUGUGUUUUCGGGGAUCAGUAUUACAACCAAUGUACAUGAUCAAUUUAUCUCUCAAUCCAAAAUUGGACAGAUGAAAUAAGACUGUAUAAAAAAAAAAGAAAACGUUUUAAAAUGCAUCACCAGCUAGCAUGCCAACAAAUGUAUGUUGAUAUUGUGAACAAUUGUGAUCUUGAAUCUAUGAAUAAAAUGGUCAUUACAUCGUU